RNAcentral lists this ribosomal RNA (526 nucleotides) under uncultured Actinomycetes bacterium. RNAcentral describes it as "bacterial SSU rRNA". It matches the Rfam family "Bacterial small subunit ribosomal RNA", at positions 8 to 522 of the family's 1533-position model. The record is from RNAcentral. Lineage: Bacteria; Bacillati; Actinomycetota; Actinomycetes.
AGAGUUUGAUCAUGGCUCAGGACGAACGCUGGCGGCGCGCUUAACACAUGCAAGUCGAGCGAGAACCGGAGCUUCGGCUCCGGGGACAGCGGCGAACGGGUGAGUAACACGUGGGUAAUCUGCCCUCGGUUCUGGGAUAGCCCGGGGAAACUCGGAUUAAUACCGGACAGCCUCUCUGGCCUGCGGGCCGGCGAGAAAAGGUAGCUUCGGCCUCCGACUGAGGAUGAGCCCGCGGCGGAUUAGCUUGUUGGCGGGGUAACGGCCCACCAAGGCGACGAUCCGUAGCUGGUCUGAGAGGACGAUCAGCCACACUGGGACUGAGACACGGCCCAGACUCCUACGGGAGGCAGCAGUGGGGAAUCUUGCGCAAUGGGCGAAAGCCUGACGCAGCGACGCCGCGUGGGGGAAGAAGGCCUUCGGGUUGUAAACCUCUUUCAGGUGGGACGAAGCCACUCGGGUGAAUAGCCCAGAGGGUGACGGUACCGCCAGAAGAAGCCCGGCUAACUACGUGCCAGCAGCCGCGGUA